Molecule: long non-coding RNA, 977 nt
Filed under: Gouania willdenowi (blunt-snouted clingfish)
Lineage: Eukaryota; Metazoa; Chordata; Actinopteri; Blenniiformes; Gobiesocidae
Description: lncRNA (ENSGWIG00000011828.1)
Source: RNAcentral
GCCUAAAACCGGCCAUGCUCUGGGGUCACCAGAAAUGUGUGAUAUCAAAAUGUGGUUACAACCUAAUAAAGGUUGAGAACCAUUGCUUUAUCCACACUAGACAAAAACAGUAAUAUUCCUUUAAAAAAAAAGAGCAUUAUUUAAAUACACGUUUUCCAUGGCAACCGUGUCAUCUCUCACCCUAUAUAAGCGGUUAGAAAGAAAACUUAACUGUUUUCCAACAGUUGUGUCUGCAGUUCACUGUUCGGUCUACAAGGAAAACUCUCUCAGAAAUCGCCAGCGACCAUUUCUGAACAUUAUCAGCCAGAAUAUAACAUAUCAACAACCCCCGCUCUCAAAAUGAAGAUACCAUUGAACAUGCUGAUGGAUCCUGUGGUCCAGGAGGAGGAGGAGUUGAAGCACCUCCUUCCUGAGAUUACAGAUGUUGUGGAGCAGUAUCCAGAGGUUGCAGGACUGGUGCACUGGGCGACUUACCCUGUGAUGUCGUCUCCUCAUGUUUGUAAAUGUCCUCCUCCACCGUUAACAGACCUCCAAUUUUACAGCACUCCUUUCUUUCCACCUGAAAUCUUUCCAUCUUUUGAAGAACGAGAUGAGUUGGAUGAGUUAUUGGCUGUCAUGCCACCAGAGGCCCUGGAACCCAUCCCAGUUCCAAAGUGAGUGUCCUUGAGUUGUUUUAAUUGUUUUUUUUUCUGAAUAACUCUAGAUCAGAGUGUCUCCCUGCUCUCUCUCUCUACUACUCUCAGCUACUGUUUCCCUGCCCUGCUCACUGUUUGUGUUUUGUUCCUCAGAAAAAGGAAGCUUGAGAAGGAUAAGGGCCCAUAUGUUAAGAAACCUCCCAACGCAUUCAUGCUUUUCUUAAAAAGUGAGAGGAAGACGGUCCAGGAAGAGCUCGGCAUUAAGAACAGUGCCGCCAUCAACAAAGUUCUUUCUGAACGCGUAAGUUUGUUGAUUCCUCAAUAAAUGAUCUGUGAUCUUCA